UACAGAGGUCCCAAGCGUUGUUCGGAUUCAUUGGGCGUAAAGGGUGCGUAGGCGGCGCGGUAAGUCGGGUGUGAAAUUUCGAGGCUUAACUUCGAAACUGCAUUCGAUACUGCCGUGCUUGAGGACUGGAGAGGAGACUGGAAUUUACGGUGUAGCGGUGAAAUGCGUAGAUAUCGUAAGGAAGACCAGUGGCGAAGGCGGGUCUCUGGACAGUUCCUGACGCUGAGGCACGAAGGCCAGGGGAGCAAACGGG
RNAcentral lists this ribosomal RNA (253 nucleotides) under uncultured bacterium. RNAcentral describes it as "partial 16S ribosomal RNA". It matches the Rfam family "Bacterial small subunit ribosomal RNA", at positions 524 to 776 of the family's 1533-position model. The record is from RNAcentral.